Molecule: long non-coding RNA, 5202 nt
Organism: Mustela lutreola (European mink)
Lineage: Eukaryota; Metazoa; Chordata; Mammalia; Carnivora; Mustelidae
Exons: 2
Source: RefSeq, a predicted model, not a curated record
CGUACACUAGAGAAGAAGAAACCAGAACCGAGCCAGGUCAGGCGAGGGGCCCCGGAGCAGAAGGUGCUUUUGGGGGAAAACCGAAGAACGCGAGAUGCCACUCCCUAAAGCCCACAGAGGACAUCAGGGAACCACGACACGGCUCGUCCUGAAAUCUCUGUGAAGCAGCUAUAUGGUCAAAUACAGGUAUUUCAAGUCUUCAAGGAGUCCAGAAGAACCACAGAGGAGUCCAAUUUGAGAUGUGCCAACUGCGGGAUUCAUAACAGGACAAUCAAUCAGCAUAACCAUGAAUCUGUGUCCUAUCUCCUCCAUAUCUACAUCUGCUUUCACUUCACCUGAAGCCAAGAGGCAAAUAUUUUUUUGAAAUCCAUCUACCCGGUUUCACGCACUUACUCACUUGAUAAACCCAACCCGGCUUCUCUUGCCGGUCAGCUUCCCCGCCCGCCCCGAGGACCUCACUGUCCUUUUCCACGGUGACUGCAUCACACUGUUGACAAGACCCCAGGGGCUGCGUCACCCUGACUUCUCAACUGCCUCGCGAUGUGACCUGGGCAAGCCUCUGCCCUGAAACUCCCUGCCUCACCUCCGCACUGGUGGGCCCAAGAACAGCCACCUAACGCAGAUGUAGGGACCAAAUGGGGCGGCAUUCAUAAAAGUCCCCGGCAAAGUGCCAGGUCAUGGUGCUACUGUCACUGGACUCCUGGACCAAUGCCCUCCGCUGACUGACUUUGAAAGGUCUGGGUUCAAGACCCUGAGGGAGAAGAGACAGCAAACAAGGAAGACAAAUACCCAUGGGGUACAACUCAGCUUCCAAGUCAAACCUUCUCACUCACUGGACUAAAUGGCCCUCAUGAAUUAUGACCCGGGGGUCUGUGAAGGGGCCGUGAGGAUAGAAAUCCUGCGAUCCCGGACAGGAAGGGGAUGAACACAAAAACUCUGAGACAGAAAAAUGUAGGGAGGCUGUGAGUGAUCAAAGACAGUCCCAGCAAUAUGAAACUCAAGCUGAAACCAGUUUAAGAGGACUGUUUGGUCAGCUGCGGCAUACCCUCCGACUAGAUGUCAACAAUUAAAAAACGGCUUUUGUCGUUCUAGCAUAAAAUUUCAGGCAAUUAAGUAAAUGGACUACCUCACUGACCAGUCAUCUCUGAAGCUUUUUUUUCUUUGGGGCAUUCUGCACGGUCCCAGAAUUUUGGACACACUCAGUGAACUUGCUAGAAACUUUGAUUAAAAAAAAAAAAUGGUGUUAACCAAGAUGUAUUCUGAGGCCGAAGUUACCUCAAAAUAAUGCGAACCUCUUUGCCCUACGUUAGCCACACUCCCGAAAGCUCCCCGAUCUGGGACGUCCCCAGGCAGGGACCCUGGCUUAGCUGCUUACCGUCGGCGGCGCUGAAGUACUCUGGGUUCACAGAAGCAUACAGCACUCCAUUGCCCAGCCUGCUGUUAUUCCUGUCAAAGGGAUAAAAUUCAGGUUAAAAAACCCCAUCUCCGCGCGUGUCAUCUUGGCGCUCUCAGUUCUCUCUGUCCUGUUUUGUGAGGGGCAUCCAGAGGAAGGGGGUGUGGGUAACUCCUUCCUGCCGCUCUCACCUACGCUCUGUCAUCGGGCCCCAAAGCCAUCUUGCUAACACGUCCUUGGGCUUCUUCAGGGGCCUCGGGUUAAAGCUUUUAAGGAGACACUGGUUUCUUCACUUCAUCAGAAACGGGAAGGCCAACUGGCCAGAAGAGGCUGGACACUGGGUUUGGAAAAAUCUCUGCAUAUGUGAGCAGCGGGAUCCGUGAGCAAAGGGGUGGACCAUACCGGCCCCAAAUACGUUUUCUGUUGUUGCUGAAUCCUUACAAAAUGUUCUCUUUUUCCUGCAAGGAACCUUUGACGGGAAAAUUGGGUCACCCGUUCCGUAAAAUAUUCCCUCGAGAUCCUUAAGACGUUUUCCUUAACCUCGGGGUCCCCUCACCAGACCGCGCAGCCACCUAAGGUGUCCGAGCUUCCCCCGGAGUCACUCACCUUUUCCUGUGGAAGACGUACAGCAUUAUCACAAGCCCCCCCACUAUCAGCAGGACAGCGACGGGCAGAGCGAUGAUCAGGUGGAUGAAGUUUUCGUACGUUACUGCAGAAACAAGGGAAAUGACAAAAGUAUCACAAGGUGCACAGGCCGGUCGUUUUUUGUUUGCUUUUUGUUUUAGCAGCAAGAAUGAGAAAAAAAAAUCCCCGAAAAUUCCUUUACUGCCCUAUCGCAGACUAGGAAUUCUGAAGGUAAACAGUAUCAGAUAGAACAGCAAAACACUCUGAGUUAUUCGGGGGGAAAGAAAAAAAAAAAGAUAAAAUGAGUACACACAGAGGAGCAAUGAGAGUAACUCAUUUUUAAAGUACAGUGUACCCUGACAUAAUAGUUCACGUGGUGGGCUCAGGUAAAGUCAUCUUUGUGUGUAAUUUAAUGACUACUAGUGGACACACACACACACACACACACACACACUCAUGCACAUUUGCAAAAAUAAAAGGAAUGGAUUCUUAACUAUUUAGAGCCCAAGUGAUACUGACCCUUGUAUUUAGAUCAUAAAUGUAUUAUUUAAUCUGUUUGGUAUGAAGCUGGUGUCCUAGUAAGCUCUGUUGACCUUUAUCUGUCUUAAGAAAGUUCCAGAGAUGAUUUAAAAACACCUAACCGUAUGGCACCCCUGGCCAAAGUUGUUCUGAAUUCUCCCCAGACAUUCAGGUACAGUUACAAGCCUGACCGCCACACCUGCUCAUCCCUGUCAUCAGCACUCAGGUGACAGGUGGGCACCUGGGACGCUGCUGCGCAGCCUCGAAGACUCUGCUGGAUACGGGAAGUCACUGUGUUCUCAGGGAGCACCGACACCGAAAAGGUAGACUGCCCACAUUUUGCAAGGAUGCCCAUGUUGCCAGGACAUCGAAAGCAAGGCAGAGGAGAGAAGGGAGCCAGGGAAGCUUUCCAAGCACAGAGGAAUGGUUGGAGAUGACACUGGGGAGAAGCAAGGUUGGCUCCCAAUGGGCCUGUUCAACCCAAGCAGUUCGAACCUCAUUCUGCAGAUGAAAGGGAGCCAGUGUGAGCUCUUGGGCCCCACAGUGAACGGAGCACAUUUGUGUAUGUUGGGACAGCAGUGCUGGAGGACAGUCUGUGCGGGGGCUGGUGGCAUGGAGGAGGCACGGCCACAUCUCGGAGGGUGCCAGAGGGCAGGAGAGGAUCUGGCUAAGUUCUGCAUUACCCAGCCCAGACCUCACAAGGAGACCAGUGCUCCGUGGCUACCAAGGAAGAAGACUCACAGAGAUGGACGGUCCUCCCCAGGGUCACACAGGCAGCUGGGAAGCCAUGGUCCUGGGAUCGUUCCUGCCCCCACAGCUCAGACCUGCCCCCCAUGGCAAGCACCCUGCAGGCUGUGAAAGGAGGCAGUGGUGGUGGCAAAAGGGGCUGGAUUUCAGGGACACGGAAGAGGUAGAAUCAAUGGGACUGGGGUUUGAAUGGCAAAUGGGUGGCUGGAGAGAGAGAGAGAGAGAGAGAGAGAGGAGAGAGAGAGAGAGAGAGAAGGAUGUAAGGUUCCAGGCUUGCAUGGGGCAUGGAUCAUGGCGCCACUGACUGACCUUGGGAACAAAGGACAGAGAGCUACUCGGAGGGCAGCAACCAUGACUUGGGUUCUGGUACUCAUGGGAGUGGGAGGCACUCAUGGGACCACCCAAGUAGAGAUGUCUAUAUGGAAAUGAUGGAACUCACUGGGGACCCAGGGACACCUAGUAAAAGUCACACAUCAGUGAUUAUUUUGCCACUAAAAAUCAUCACCAUUAUGACUCUUUAUGGAUUAUUAAUGCUAUUUUGAUUUUUUAAAUCAAGGACAUUUUCAUCAGAUCGUUCUCAACAUGGAUGGAUCUCCUGCACUUUCUAAUUCCCGAAAACACUCUCAAAUUAUCACUGCUGUUGGGAAACCAGCCAAGUUUUAGUUUUUCCUCCCAAGGACAACUUCUUACAUUCGUAUCACUUAGCCUACUGGUCAGGUUGUACCGUGUUCUGAGUUUCACAUUUCAGUGGGGACAUGGAGAAACUGGAACACAGCCGGAGAGGAGCACAAUGAUGAAAUGGCUAGAAAAUUGGUCUCUGUGACUGGGCAACAAGAAAAGGCCAAGAGACUGGAGAUUAUUUAGUCUGAAGAAGGAAAGUCUGAAGAGUCAUUUAAUAGCAUUCAAGCACAUGAAGGGUUCCUAAAAGGACAGUGGUUGCCAGAAAGCUUGCAAAGCUUCUGUCUCCUCUGAGGAUUAAACAAGAGGAAAAGAGACUGUGCGGUAGCAGGAGAGUCUUGUCCGACAUAGGGACAAAUAGUAAAGCAGGCAUGUAGAUUUCAUUUUCCUGCAGUACGUGCCAACUUCUGCUGGAAGGAGUCCAUCAGAGGGGCUCUCUGGGUUCCCAGUGGCAUCCCAGCCCUGCCAGGGUUAAAGACGGGGUAGCAAUGGCAGAGGGGAAUGUGUCCUCUCCGAAGAGAAGCCAAGUCAGCUAUUUCAAAGACUGCGGCCUGAUGCUACGCCGCUAAGCCUAGGCUCUGUUCCUACGGGAUCGAUGCAGAGGAGAGAGAAAAGAGGAGAAAAGAAAGCCAGCCACAGCUCUGGAGAGGGUUCUAGGCAUCACUGGGAAGGUUCUAGCACUGGACCGGGUGACAGAGGCUUGCUGGGGAGAGCAGGUUAGUGGGCCCCAUGGAGAAUUCAGACUCUUUGAGCUGAUGGAAUCAUCUGCCGAAGCUGUUUACCCCUAAAACCAGAACUCAGGCACAGUGCCAGGCUCAUCAAAUGCUACUUCAAGGUCUGCAGUCCUAUGCAGGUCGUUCUUCUUUUGAUAUCUGUACUAUUAGGAUUUUCAAACACCUGUCUUUGAUUCUUAGGUACUAACCAGGUGGAUAGCUGGAUUGGUUGAAUCCUGAAUUUUUAAAAACUGAGACGCUAGAUCAGGGUAGCCCAAAUGUGGACCCCGGGAGGGACCACAGACGUGAGGACCACCCACUGAACCCCAAAGUAGCACCAGUCAGCACGGUGGGCUGCUCUUUCAAGUGGGACAGUGAGGAACAGCGUCUGGCCAAACUGGAUCCCAUAAUCUGAACAGGAAAUCAUCUGAAAAACUGGGUUCCUAAUAAGAAAUGGAAACUCAACGUGGAAAUAACGAGGAAUAUUUGUGUCACCAAAUAAAAUACUGUGUUUUCUUGGCCCAGCAA